CUGAGCCCAGCCAACAAGAGCAGUUGGUCUUCUACAACAGUUGGUUUGAUGAAGCCACUCUCUUGGUCAACAAUGGCACAGGACUGGUUUCCUGGAUCACAUCUUUGUGGGGCCCCAGGAGCUGUGGGUGCUGGAUGCCUCUCAGCAGGAUGCUGGGUCCUAGAGCUGCCAGGGCUCACCCCAUGCAUGCUAUGGGCCUCCGCGCCUCACCUCAGCUACGGCCCUCACUUGCACUUCCACAAGCAGAGGCCUUUUACUGGACUUGGCUCCAGUAGAUGGACAGGAAACUGCCAACCAUGCUGGCCACCCAAACCAACUUUCGCUGCCUGGCUACUGGCAACCCCACUCUCUCCAUCUCCUGGCUGAAGAACCACAAGGGUUCUAAGCAGAGCAUCACAUCAGGACAUCAAGGGGUCCCUGGAAGUUGGUGGGAAUGUGGCCUGAUUGUGAAAGGUGGGACCUGUCCUCCAUUCACCCACACUUCCACCUGGAGCUGUGGCACCAGCAGUAGAGCCUGCUCAUGGAGUAUGGUGCCCUCAGACUGCUGUCACUCCACCUCUGUGAUGGAGAACAAGUUCAACAGCCUUCAGCAGACAUACACGCUGGACAGCUGGGUGAGGGCUGUGGCCCAUGGGCAGGGGUCAGGAAGGUGGGCAGCCUCUGAGCUCUCAUCUAUUCUCUCAAUGUGCUCUCUUGACCAUCCCAUUCUACCCACUGGGCUUCUGGCCAACCAGACACAGCAAGGUGGAGUUCCACUGCAAAGUGUACAGUGACCUACUAUGUGGAGGUGAACAGCAGCUAGGUGGGUGUCAAUGGCAUGCCUAUGUCACCAUGCUCAGGGGAGAUGCUGCUGCUGUCCAGGAACAUGGGGAUGGCAGACCUGGGG
This 886-nucleotide long non-coding RNA is filed under the name Homo sapiens (human). Its description in RNAcentral is "non-protein coding lnc-TP53TG3-57:1". The record is from RNAcentral. Lineage: Eukaryota; Metazoa; Chordata; Mammalia; Primates; Hominidae.